GAUGAAGAACGUAGCGAAAUGCGAUAAGUAAUGUGAAUUGCAGAAUUCAGUGAAUCAUCGAAUCUUUGAACGCUCAUUGCGCCCGCCAGUAUUCUGGCGGGCAUGCCUGUUCGAGCGUCAUUUCAACCAUCAAGCCCCGGGCUUGUGUUGGGGACCUGCGGCUGCCGCAGGCCCUGAAAUGCAGUGGCGGGCUCGCUGUCACUCCGAGCGUAGUAGUUACAUCUCGCUCUGGGCGUGCUGCGGGUUCCGGCCGUUAAAAGCCUUAUUUACCCAAGGUUGACCUCGGAUCAGGUAGGAAGACCCGCUGAACUUAAGCAUAUCAAUAAGCGGAGGA
Molecule: unclassified non-coding RNA, 334 nt
Filed under: soil metagenome
Description: partial contains 5.8S ribosomal RNA, internal transcribed spacer 2, and large subunit ribosomal RNA
Rfam family: 5.8S ribosomal RNA (bases 1-120)
Source: RNAcentral